CACGUUGAAAGACUGGUCCCCUUUAUGAUCACUGAAAUUAAGCAACACUGACCCUGGUCAGUACCUAGAUGGGUGACUGCUUGGGAAUACCAGGUGCUGUAAGC
Molecule: non-coding RNA, 104 nt
Organism: Acanthosepion pharaonis
Lineage: Eukaryota; Metazoa; Mollusca; Cephalopoda; Sepiida; Sepiidae
Source: the annotation of a GenBank genome assembly